RNAcentral lists this ribosomal RNA (423 nucleotides) under uncultured bacterium. Its description in RNAcentral is "partial 16S ribosomal RNA". It matches the Rfam family "Bacterial small subunit ribosomal RNA", at positions 359 to 774 of the family's 1533-position model. The record is from RNAcentral.
GAAUAUUGGACAAUGGGCGAAAGCCUGAUCCAGCCAUGCCGCGUGUGUGAAGAAGGUCUUCGGAUUGUAAAUCACUUUAAUUUGGGAGGAAGGGCAAUAAGCGAAUACCUUGCUGUUUUGACGUUACCGACAGUAUAAGCACCGGCUAACUCUCUGCCAGCCGCCGCGGUAAUACAGAGGGUGCAAGCGUUAAUCGGCAUUACUGGGGGUAAAGCGCGCGUAGGUGUUUCGUUAAGUUGGAUGUGAAAUCCCCGGGCUCAACCUGGGAACUGCAUCCAAAACUGGCGAGCUAGAGUAGGGCAGAGGGUGGUGGAAUUUCCUGUGUAGCGGUGAAAUGCGUAGAUAUAGGAAGGAACGCCAGUGGCGAAGGCGACCACCUGGGCUCAUACUGACACUGAGGUGCGAAAGCGUGGGGAGCAAACA